AAGGCCUUAGCUUAAUGAAAGUAUCUGCUUUGCAUGCAGGUGAUGUGGGGUAAUGUCCUGCAGGUCUUA
RNAcentral lists this transfer RNA (69 nucleotides) under Hoplolatilus cuniculus (dusky tilefish). RNAcentral's name for it is "tRNA-Ala". It matches the Rfam family "tRNA". From Rfam's summary of the family: Transfer RNA (tRNA) molecules are approximately 80 nucleotides in length. Their secondary structure includes four short double-helical elements and three loops (D, anti-codon, and T loops). The record is from RNAcentral. Lineage: Eukaryota; Metazoa; Chordata; Actinopteri; Malacanthidae.